This 218-nucleotide ribosomal RNA is filed under the name uncultured Lactococcus sp. RNAcentral describes it as "partial 16S ribosomal RNA". It matches the Rfam family "Bacterial small subunit ribosomal RNA", at positions 325 to 532 of the family's 1533-position model. Lineage: Bacteria; Bacillati; Bacillota; Bacilli; Lactobacillales; Streptococcaceae. The record is from RNAcentral.
UCUAGAGAUUACUCCUACGGGAGGCAGCAGUAGGGAAUCUUCGGCAAUGGACGAAAGUCUGACCGAGCAACGCCGCGUGAGUGAAGAAGGUUUUCGGAUCGUAAAACUCUGUUGGUAGAGAAGAACGUUGGUGAGAGUGGAAAGCUCAUCAAGUGACGGUAACUACCCAGAAAGGGACGGCUAACUACGUGCCAGCAGCCGCGGUAAUAAUCGUCGAC